UCUCCGUAGGUGAACCUGCGGAGGGAUCAUUACAGAGUUCUCGCCCUCGCGGGUAGAUCUCCCACCUACUGUUAUCGUUACUGUGUUGCUUUGGCGGGCCGCCGGGCCCCGCUCGGCCGCCGGCUCCGGCUGGCGCGCGCCCGCCAGAGGCCCAGCAAACUCUGAAUGUUAGUGUCGUCUGAGUACUAUAUAAUAGUUAAAACUUUCAACAACGGAUCUCUUGGUUCUG
RNAcentral lists this unclassified non-coding RNA (229 nucleotides) under plant metagenome. RNAcentral's name for it is "partial contains small subunit ribosomal RNA, internal transcribed spacer 1, and 5.8S ribosomal RNA". The record is from RNAcentral.